GACGAACGCUGGCGGCGUGCCUAAUACAUGCAAGUCGAACGCAUUUUCUUUCACCGUAGCUUGCUACACCGAAAGAAAAUGAGUGGCGAACGGGUGAGUAACACGUGGGUAACCUGCCCAUCAGCGGGGGAUAACACUUGGAAACAGGUGCUAAUACCGCAUAAUUCCAUUUACCGCAUGGUAAAUGGAUGAAAGGCGCUUUUGCGUCACUGAUGGAUGGACCCGCGGUGCAUUAGCUAGUUGGUGGGGUAACGGCCUACCAAGGCUGCGAUGCAUAGCCGACCUGAGAGGGUGAUCGGCCACACUGGGACUGAGACACGGCCCAGACUCCUACGGGAGGCAGCAGUAGGGAAUCCUCGGCAAUGGACGCAAGUCUGACCGAGCAACGCCGCGUGAGUGAAGAAGGGUGUCGGAUCGUAAAACUCUGUUGUUAGAGAAGAACAAGGAUGAGAGUGGAAAGUUCAUCCCUUGACGGUAUCUAACCAGAAAGCCACGGCUAACUACGUG
This 507-nucleotide ribosomal RNA is filed under the name uncultured bacterium. Its description in RNAcentral is "partial 16S ribosomal RNA". It matches the Rfam family "Bacterial small subunit ribosomal RNA", at positions 28 to 507 of the family's 1533-position model. The record is from RNAcentral.